GAGACUGAUCCUAUUUACAACCCACAGUAUGCCGCAGGGCUAAAGAAACUCUGUCAAAAUUAUCAACAAGAUCCUUCCAUGUCAGCGUAUAACGACGUGAUGACACCUAACAAGUUUGAUAACAUGUAUUUUAAAAACUUGAAGAGAGGGUUAGGGCUUUUGGCUACAGAUAGUUUGAUGUUUGAGGAUAAGAGGACAAAACCCUUUGUGGAAUUGUAUGCUACAGACCAAACUAAGUUCUUUGAGGAUUUUGGUAAUGCUAUGCGCAAGGUUAGUGUUUUGCAUGUUAAGGCGGGGAAGGAAGGAGAGAUACGACAUAGGUGUGAUACUUUCAACAAACUUAAUGAUAAUCUAUGAAGUCCAGACUCCGAAAGGCACACCUCACACGGCACGGACACGUCGACAUUGCUAAUGUAAAAAACAUGGGACACCGACACCACUAGGUUAUCCAUCUACUAUCGAAAAGUUAAAAAUAUUUUUAUCAAAAUGUAAUCUCUUUAAUCCCUCAUUGAUCAACAUUAUUGUUUUGACGCAUUUUAAUCCUUGUAAAUAUGUCUAAUAUGUGUUUGAGGAGAGUAGAGGCAAAGAAGAAAACACUAAAUUUUUUGGGGCACUUGUCCGACACAGUGUCUUAUAGGUGUCAGACACCGAUCUAAGAAGUGUCGAAGUAAAGAAAAAUAAUAAUUUUUUUGACGCCUGUCUGACGAGUUGGGAUCCUCUCCAUUUCCUAUUAAUUUAAUUUCUUCCAUUACCAAAGUUUUUAAAUGUUUUGGAGUGUAUAAAAAAUAUUUGGACCCUUUUGCUUUAUAUUCCCAAAACUAUAUAAUAAUGGAUGAAAUGGAAAGAAUGAGAAAUGGAGAGAAUCCCAACACCUGUCUGACCUAUCCAACGACGUGUGUCGUAGAAGUGUCGAGUGUCGGACACCGACACGUGUCAAACACCGCAAAACGUCUAUUCAUAUAGGUGUCCAUCUUUUGUAGAUUAUACUUGAUUUGAGACCAACAGAUUAAUUAUUAUUACUAGUUAAGGGAUUUAAGUACACGUUUUUAAUUUUGUUGUGUUACUUAUUGUGUAGAUUCAAUUGAUUAAUGUGAAACGAAAUGAAAAUUGGUGUUAACUUUCUCUAAUACUGCUGCUCAGUUAAAUUAAUGUUAAGUAAAUUCCCUAUAAAUCGAUUCCCAGUUAUAUCUCUAAUUAUUAAUUGCAUGUUAGUACUAAUUCAUUCAUGUAAUCAAUAACUAAAAUAUUCUAGAGAUAUUAAUAUAAGGGUAAAGCUAAUAACCUAAUAAGGAACCAACCCACCUUUGAAUUAGAGGUGUGAUAACAACGAGAGUUGUAGAGCUGGAAAUGGAUUCUUUACAAAAUUCCUUGAUCCCCCUUCAAGCUCCAAUUACAACCCAUGACCUCUUGAUUGCUAGAAAUUCACAUGCUCAAAAAGAAUUACGAGGGUUGGGGAAAGGAGAAGGGAGGAAUAAGUCAGUCACUUACCUUGGUUGGGUAAAGGAGAAAGGAAUUACAAGGGCUGCUACUGUUGUGAUUGCAUGCAAGGUUAAGCUCUGGUUGUAAAAUUGGUGUGGGUUGAAAUGAAUGGAAAGGAGUGGCUCAGUCAAAUUGAG
Molecule: long non-coding RNA, 1616 nt
Filed under: Trifolium pratense (red clover)
Lineage: Eukaryota; Viridiplantae; Streptophyta; Magnoliopsida; Fabales; Fabaceae
Description: long non-coding RNA (TPRA_LNC005226)
Source: RNAcentral